This 407-nucleotide ribosomal RNA is filed under the name uncultured bacterium. RNAcentral describes it as "bacterial SSU rRNA". It matches the Rfam family "Bacterial small subunit ribosomal RNA", at positions 32 to 449 of the family's 1533-position model. The record is from RNAcentral.
AAUCAACGCUGGCGGCGUGCCUAACACAUGCAAGUCGCACGAGAAAGGGGCUUCGGCUCUGAGUAAAGUGGCGCACGGGUGAGUAACACGUGACUAAUCUACCCUCGAGUGGGGAAUAACUGAGAGAAAUCUUAGCUAAUACCGCAUAACACUUACGAGUCAAAGCAGCAAUGCGCUUGGGGAGGAGGUCGCGGCCGAUUAGCUAGUUGGCGGGGUAAUGGCCCACCAAGGCGAUGAUCGGUAUCCGGCCUGAGAGGGCGCACGGACACACUGGAACUGAAACACGGUCCAGACUCCUACGGGAGGCAGCAGUGGGGAAUUUUGCGCAAUGGGGGAAACCCUGACGCAGCAACGCCGCGUGGAGGAUGAAAUAUCUUGGUAUGUAAACUCCUUUCGAUGGGGAAGAU